UAAUACGUAGGGUGCGAGCGUUGUCCGGAAUUAUUGGGCGUAAAGAGCUCGUAGGCGGCUUGUCGCGUCGGAUGUGAAAUCCCAUGGCUCAACUGUGGGCUUGCAUUCGAUACGGGCAGGCUAGAGUUCGGUAGGGGAGACUGGAAUUCCUGGUGUAGCGGUGAAAUGCGCAGAUAUCAGGAGGAACACCGGUGGCGAAGGCGGGUCUCUGGGCCGAUACUGACGCUGAGGAGCGAAAGCGUGGGGAGCGAACAGGAUUAGAUACCCUGGUAGUCCACGCCGUAAACGUUGGGCGCUAGGUGUGGGUUCCCUUCCACGGGAUCCGUGCCGCAGCUAACGCAUUAAGCGCCCCGCCUGGGGAGUACGGCCGCAAGGCUA
This 378-nucleotide ribosomal RNA is filed under the name uncultured bacterium. Its description in RNAcentral is "bacterial SSU rRNA". It matches the Rfam family "Bacterial small subunit ribosomal RNA", at positions 521 to 896 of the family's 1533-position model. The record is from RNAcentral.